Molecule: non-coding RNA, 98 nt
Filed under: Pteridomonas danica
Lineage: Eukaryota; Dictyochophyceae; Pedinellales
Source: RNAcentral
AGAAGAAGGAGGAGAAUAUGAGCAACAAGAAGAAGACGGCAGAGGAAUGUAUGAAAGACAGCAGCAACAAGUCUAUGAAACCCAUGAGCCUGUAGCUA